GGAACUCUGAACCAGCCAUACCGCGUGCAGGAAGAAUGCCCUAUGGGUUGUAAACUGCUUUUAUUUGGGAAGAACCCUGAUUACGUGUAAUCAGCUGACGGUACCAAACGAAUAAGGACCGGCUAACUCCGUGCCAGCAGCCGCGGUAAU
RNAcentral lists this ribosomal RNA (150 nucleotides) under uncultured bacterium. RNAcentral's name for it is "partial 16S ribosomal RNA". It matches the Rfam family "Bacterial small subunit ribosomal RNA", at positions 377 to 524 of the family's 1533-position model. The record is from RNAcentral.